GUGCCAGCAGCCGCGGUAAUACGAAGGGAGCUAGCGUUGUUCGGAAUCACUGGGCGUAAAGCGCACGUAGGCGGACUUGUCAGUCAGGGGUGAAAUCCCGGGGCUCAACCUCGGAACUGCCUCUGAUACAGCAAGUCUUGAGUCCGGAAGAGGUGGGUGGAAUUCCUAGUGUAGAGGUGAAAUUCGUAGAUAUUAGGAAGAACACCGGUGGCGAAGGCGGCCCACUGGUCCGGUACUGACGCUGAGGUGCGAAAGCGUGGGGAGCAAACAGGAUUAGAUACCCCGGUAGUCC
Molecule: ribosomal RNA, 292 nt
Filed under: uncultured bacterium
Lineage: Bacteria
Description: partial 16S ribosomal RNA
Rfam family: Bacterial small subunit ribosomal RNA
Source: RNAcentral